CAAAGCAAGAAGGAGCGCCCGCUUCUCACCUGAUCGACGCACAGCGCAGUUGACAGGUCUACAUGUAAUAAUGUCUCAUGAUGACAAACAUGAGUGUGGGCGUCGUAUGCCCACACUCUUUUGUGUUG
This is a regulatory RNA element of 128 nucleotides. It matches the Rfam family "Ribosomal protein L20 leader". Rfam says of the family: This family is a putative r-protein leader autoregulatory structure found in B. subtilis and other low-GC Gram-positive bacteria. It is located in the 5' untranslated regions of mRNAs encoding initiation factor 3 followed by ribosomal proteins L35 and L20 (infC-rpmI-rplT). The record is from Rfam.